GAUGAACGCUGGCGACGUGCCUAAUACAUGCAAGUCGUACGGAAAGGCCCUUCGGGGUACUCGAGUGGCGGACGGCUGAGUAACGCGUGGGAACGUGCCCCAAAGUGAGGGAUAACGCACCGAAAGGUGUGCUAAUACCGCAUAUGGUCUUCGGAUUAAAGCUUCGGCGCUUUGGGAGCGGCCCGCGUACGAUUAGAUAGUUGGUGAGGUAAUGGCUCACCAAGUCGACGAUCGUUAGCUGGUCUGAGAGGAUGAUCAGCCAGGCUGGGACUGAGACACGGCCCAGACUCCUACGGGAGGCAGCAGUAAGGAAUCUUCCACAAUGGGGGCAACCCUGAUGGAGCAACGCCGCGUGCAGGAUGAAGGUUUUCGGAUCGUAAACUGCUUUUAUAAGUGAAGAAUAUGACGGUAACUUAUGAAUAAGGAUCGGCUAACUACGUGCCAGCAGCCGCAGUAA
RNAcentral lists this ribosomal RNA (457 nucleotides) under uncultured bacterium. Its description in RNAcentral is "partial 16S ribosomal RNA". It matches the Rfam family "Bacterial small subunit ribosomal RNA", at positions 28 to 523 of the family's 1533-position model. The record is from RNAcentral.